This 24-nucleotide microRNA is filed under the name Lotus japonicus. RNAcentral's name for it is "lja-miR11108s-3p". Lineage: Eukaryota; Viridiplantae; Streptophyta; Magnoliopsida; Fabales; Fabaceae. The record is from miRBase by way of RNAcentral.
UCCAACUCACUGAUCUUCAAUGUG